CCUACGGGAGGCAGCAGUGAGGAAUAUUGGUCAAUGGACGAGAGUCUGAACCAGCCAAGUAGCGUGAAGGAUGACUGCCCUACGGGUUGUAAACUUCUUUUAUAUGGGAAUAAAAUGUUCCACGUGUAGGAUUUUGUAUGUACCAUAUGAAUAAGGAUCGGCUAACUCCGUGCCAGCAGCCGCGGUAAUACGGAGGGUCCGAGCGUUAUCCGGAUUUAUUGGGUUUAAAGGGAGCGUAGGUGGAUUGUUAAGUCAGUUGUGAAAGUUUGCGGCUCAACCCGAAAAUUGCAGUUGAAACUGGCAGUCUUGAGUACAGUAGAGGUGGGCGGAAUUCGUGGUGUAGCGGUGAAAUGCUUAGAUAUGACGAAGAACUCCGAUUGCGAAGGCAGCUUACUGCAGCGGAACUGACACUGAUGCUCGAAAGUGUGGGUAUCAAACAGGAUUAGAUACCCCUGUAGUC
RNAcentral lists this ribosomal RNA (460 nucleotides) under uncultured bacterium. Its description in RNAcentral is "partial 16S ribosomal RNA". It matches the Rfam family "Bacterial small subunit ribosomal RNA", at positions 338 to 795 of the family's 1533-position model. The record is from RNAcentral.